UUGGUGAGGUAAUGGCUUACCAAGGCGAUGACGGGUAGCCGGCCUGAGAGGGUGACCGGCCACACUGGGACUGAGACACGGCCCAGACUCCUACGGGAGGCAGCAGUGGGGAAUAUUGCACAAUGGGCGCAAGCCUGACGCAGCGACGCCGCGUGAGGGAUGACGGCCUUCGGGUUGUAAACCUCUUUCAGUAGGGAAGAAGCGAAAGUGAUGGUACCUGCAGAAGAAGCGCCGGCUAACUACGUGCCAGCAGCCGCGGUAAUACGUAGGGCGCAAGCGUUAUCCGGAAUUAUUGGGCGUAAAGAGCUCGUAGGCGGUUUGUCGCGUCUGCCGUGAAAGUCCGGGGCUCAACUCCGGAUCUGCGGUGGGUACGGGCAGACUAGAGUGAUGUAGGGGAGACUGGAAUUCCUGGUGUAGCGGUGAAAUGCGCAGAUAUCAGGAGGAACACCGAUGGCGAAGGCAGGUCUCUGGGCAUUAACUGACGCUGAGGAGCGAAAGCAUGGGGAGCGAACAGGAUUAGAUACCCUGGUAGUCCAUGCCGUAAACGUUGGGCACUAGGUGUGGGGGACAUUCCACGUUUUCCGCGCCGUAGCUAACGCAUUAAGUGCCCCGCCUGGGGAGUACGG
RNAcentral lists this ribosomal RNA (626 nucleotides) under uncultured bacterium. RNAcentral describes it as "bacterial SSU rRNA". It matches the Rfam family "Bacterial small subunit ribosomal RNA", at positions 249 to 885 of the family's 1533-position model. The record is from RNAcentral.